AGCGAACGCUGGCGGCGUGCUUAACACAUGCAAGUCGAGUGCGUAGCCCUUUGUAGCAAUACAGAGGGUGGGCGCACGGCGCACGGGUGAGUAACACGUGGGUAAACCUGCCCUUCGGUGGGGAAUAACCCCGCGAAAGCGGGGCUAAUUCCGCAUAACAUUCCGGGGACACAUGUUCUCGGACUCAAAGGAGUGAUUCGCCGGAGGAGGGGCCCGCGCCCGAUUAGCUUGUUGGUAGGGUAACGGCCACCAAGGCUUUGAUCGGUAGCCGGUCUGAGAGGAUGGCCGGCCACACUGGAACUGAGACACGGUCCAGACUCCUACGGGAGGCAGCAGUGGGGAAUCUUGCGCAAUGGGCGAAAGCCUGACGCAGCGACGCCGCGUGGGGA
This 389-nucleotide ribosomal RNA is filed under the name uncultured bacterium. RNAcentral describes it as "bacterial SSU rRNA". It matches the Rfam family "Bacterial small subunit ribosomal RNA", at positions 28 to 407 of the family's 1533-position model. The record is from RNAcentral.